CGGAGCGUGGCUCAGCCUGGUAGAGCACUUGCCUGGGGGGCAAGGGGUCGCAGGUUCGAAUCCUGUCGCUCCGACCA
Molecule: transfer RNA, 77 nt
Filed under: Verrucomicrobiota bacterium
Lineage: Bacteria; Pseudomonadati; Verrucomicrobiota
Also listed under: 3 other names
Description: Verrucomicrobia bacterium tRNA-Pro
Rfam family: tRNA
About the family: Transfer RNA (tRNA) molecules are approximately 80 nucleotides in length. Their secondary structure includes four short double-helical elements and three loops (D, anti-codon, and T loops).
Source: RNAcentral